Molecule: ribosomal RNA, 398 nt
Filed under: uncultured bacterium
Lineage: Bacteria
Description: partial 16S ribosomal RNA
Rfam family: Bacterial small subunit ribosomal RNA
Source: RNAcentral
AAUAUUGGACAAUGGGCGCAAGCCUGAUCCAGCCAUGCCGCGUGAGUGAAGAAGGCCCUAGGGUUGUAAAGCUCUUUCACCCGCGAAGAUGAUGACGGUAGCGGGAGAAGAAGCCCCGGCUAACUCCGUGCCAGCAGCCGCGGUAAUACGGAGGGGGCUAGCGUUGUUCGGAUUUACUGGGCGUAAAGGGCGCGUAGGCGGAUGUUCGCGUCAGAGGUGAAAGCCCCGGGCUCAACCUGGGAACUGCCUUUGAAACGGGACAUCUUGAGUUCGGGAGAGGGUAGCGGAAUUCCCAGUGUAGAGGUGAAAUUCGUAGAUAUUGGGAAGAACACCGGUGGCGAAGGCGGCUACCUGGCCCGAUACUGACGCUGAGGCGCGAAAGCGUGGGGAGCAAACAG